This 429-nucleotide ribosomal RNA is filed under the name Actinomycetes bacterium. RNAcentral describes it as "Actinobacteria bacterium partial 16S ribosomal RNA". It matches the Rfam family "Bacterial small subunit ribosomal RNA", at positions 355 to 776 of the family's 1533-position model. Lineage: Bacteria; Bacillati; Actinomycetota; Actinomycetes. The record is from RNAcentral.
UAGGGAAUCUUCCGCAAUGGGCGAAAGCUUGACGGAGCAACGCCGCGUGAGUGAUGAAGGUCUUCGGAUCGUAAAACUCUGUUAUUAGGGAAGAACAAAUGUGUAAGUAACUAUGCACGUCUUGACGGUACCUAAUCAGAAAGCCACGGCUAACUACGUGCCAGCAGCCGCGGUAAUACGUAGGUGGCAAGCGUUAUCCGGAAUUAUUGGACGUAAAGCGCGCGUAGGCGGUUUUUUAAGUCUGAUGUGAAAGCCCACGGCUCAACCGUGGAGGGUCAUUGGAAACUGGAAAACUUGAGUGCAGAAGAGGAAAGUGGAAUUCCAUGUGUAGCGGUGAAAUGCGCAGAGAUAUGGAGGAACACCAGUGGCGAAGGCGACUUUCUGGUCUGUAACUGACGCUGAUGUGCGAAAGCGUGGGGAUCAAACAGG